UUUGGUCAUCAUUUCAUGCAAACUUAAUUAGCAGUGCUCUAAAAAAAGAAUACUGAAAACCAGUUAUUUGAUCUUAAUAUCUAAAAAAACUGUACCAUCUUGGCUCAUGUCUGCUUGUGCCUUUGGCUAAUGGGACCAUAAGGGUGUAGCUUUGUCCUGCCAGGACUCGGGGCGGUGGCAGGUCUCCUUGGGCGGGGACUUGCCGGAGCUGCUGAUUUUGGUGCAGCCCCGGCCAAUGGGGUCAGAGCAGCAUUGGUGUCCUUGCCCACAGGUUCCUUCUGUGUGUCACAGCCCCGUGUUCAAGAGGGUCACCAGCCAGGACUUCUCCCAAGGAGCCCGUGCCAGCUUCUGUGGAGGCCCCGUGGCCUUCCCACUGUGGCUGCGUCGGCAGCUGAGGGGGCUCCUUGUGCUGCUGUGGGCAGGCACAGCAGGGGAGGGUUUGCUUAGUUUUUCGUCUGUGCCUAAAGUUCAUGUCCAGCUGUCUUAGAUACUUUGGAAAACAGAUUCCUUCCGAAUCUGGGGGCAGGUUGGCCAGGCUGGGGGAGCCCCCAGGGCACGUGGCAGUGUGUCACAGGGCCCUUUGUGACACGGUGGGCAUUGCCAAUGGAUGGCACGGGGCAGGGUGUCACAGGGCCCUUUGUGACACGUGAUGACUUAAUACCGGUGGUGAGGUGGCCACGCCUCAGUGCUCCUCGGAGCGUGCGACGGGACAGACGGGACAGAGCGGUGCUGUGCGGAGCCCCCGUGCAGCCAACUCGUUCCUUACUGAUCCGGAGCUUUUUGGAGUCUUCUCUGUGGUUCAAGCGCCCUCGAGGCCAGACCGCGGGACUUGGUGACCCGGAGCUUUUCUGCGGUGUCUCCAAUCCCUGCGGCAGGUGCCAUCGAGGCCAUUCUCUGGGGCUUCGUGCCCCAGAGCUUUUCCCUGGCGUCUCCAAUCCCUGCAGCAGGUGCCCUUGAGGCCCAACUGUAGGAUGGCAGGGAGACGCUUCAGCCUGUGCAGGGUUCUCAGGAGGAAGAAGAAGACCGGAGACCCUGGGACUUCCCCUGCACAGCAGCCUGAAGAGAUGCAGCAGGUCCAACCCCUGCAGGAGGAUCCAGGCCGAGUCCAGACAGAAGAGCAGGACCACGCCCAUGGCCGGUUCCACAGGGCGGCACAGGCCUUUCUGAAAUUCUUGGGCAUUCGGCGUACAAAGACCGGGAGAACACCAACCGAGGUCAUGGCACAGCCUGACCCCAUGCCGAAGGAGCUCAAGGCAAAGCCUGAUGUCGGCACCGUGUCAACUGAUGGCACAGCAACCUGUGACACCGCGGUGACCGAUGAGCUGAUGAACACCGACAGCAAACCUGUUCAGCGCCUGGCCGAUGCUCCGAGUCUGGACUUUGUUGAGGAGAGCGUUGUCUCUGCUCAAGUAGCCGUGGAGCCAGACAGAGGCAUGGAGCAGAGACCGCCCAGGGUGCCCAAGCUGGCCUGGCUGAAGGAGGGGGAGGAGGAAAGCCCUGGGCCUGCCCCAGCCCAGCACCCUGAGGAUGUGGAGCAGUUCCAGCCCCUGCAGGAGGAACCAGGCCGGGUCCAGACAGAAGAGCAGGACCGCGCCCAUGGCCGAUUCCACAGGGCAGCACAGGCCUUUCUGAAAUUCUUGGGCAUUCGGCGUAGAAAGACCGGGAGAACACCAACCGAGGUCAUGGCACAGCCUGACCCCACGCCGAAGGAGCUCAAGGCAAAGCCUGAUGUCGGCACCGUGUCAACUGAUGGCACAGCAACCUGUGACACCGCGGUGACCGAUGAGCUGAUGAACACCGACAGCAAACCUGUUCAGCGCCUGGCCGAUGCUCCGAGUCUGGACUUUGUUGAGGAGAGCGUUGUCUCUGCUCAAGUAGCCGUGGAGCCAGACAGAGGCAUGGAGCAGAGACCGCCCAGGGUGCCCAAGCUGGCCUGGCUGAAGGAAGGGGAGGAGGAAAGCCCUGGGCCUGCCCCAGCCCAGCACCCUGAGGAUGUGGAGCAGUUCCAGCCCCUGCAGGAGGAUCCAGGCCAGGUCCAGACAGAAGAGCAGGACCACGCCCAUGGCCGAUUCCACAGGGCGGCACAGGCCUUUCUGAAAUUCUUGGGCAUUCGGCGUACAAAGACCGGGAGAACACCAACCGAGGUCAUGGCACAGCCUGACCCCAUGCCGAAGGAGCUCAAGGCAAAGCCUGAUGUCGGCACCGUGUCAACUGAUGGCACAGCAACCUGUGACACCGCGGUGACCGAUGAGCUGAUGAACACCGACAGCAAACCUGUUCAGCGCCUGGCCGAUGCUCCGAGUCUGGACUUUGUUGAGGAGAGCGUUGUCUCUGCUCAAGUAGCCGUGGAGCCAGACAGAGGCAUGGAGCAGAGACCGCCCAGGGUGCCCAAGCUGGCCUGGCUGAAGGAGGGGGAGGAGGAAAGCCCUGGGCCUGCCCCAGCCCAGCACCCUGAGGAUGUUGAGCAGUUCCAGCCCCUGCAGGAGGAACCAGGCCGGGUCCAGACAGAAGAGCAGGACCGCGCCCAUGGCCGAUUCCACAGGGCGGCACAGGCCUUUCUGAAAUUCUUGGGCAUUCGGCGUACAAAGACCGGGAGAACACCAACCGAGGUCAUGGCACAGCCUGACCCCACGCCGAAGGAGCUCAAGGCAAAGCCUGAUGUCGGCACCGUGUCAACUGAUGGCACAGCAACCUGUGACACCGCGGUGACCGAUGAGCUGAUGAACACCGACAGCACACCUGUUCAGCGCCUGGCCGAUGCUCCGAGUCUGGACUUUGUUGAGGAGAGCGUUGUCUCUGCUCAAGUAGCCGUGGAGCCAGACAGAGGCAUGGAGCAGAGACCGCCCAGGGUGCCCAAGCUGGCCUGGCUGAAGGAGGGGGAGGAGGAAAGCCCUGGGCCUGCCCCAGCCCAGCACCCUGAGGAUGUGGAGCAGUUCCAGCCCCUGCAGGAGGAACCAGGCCGGGUCCAGACAGAAGAACAGGACCGCGCCCAUGGCCGAUUCCACAGGACAGCACAGGCCUUUCUGAAAUUCUUGGGCAUUCGGCGUACAAAGACCGGGAGAACACCAACCGAGGUCAUGGCACAGCCUGACCCCACGCCGAAGGAGCUCAAGGCAAAGCCUGAUGUCGGCACCGUGUCAACUGAUGGCACAGCAACCUGUGACACCGCGGUGACCGAUGAGCUGAUGAACACCGACAGCACACCUGUUCAGCGCCUGGCCGAUGCUCCGAGUCUGGACUUUGUUGAGGAGAGCGUUGUCUCUGCUCAAGUAGCCGUGGAGCCAGACAGAGGCAUGGAGCAGAGACCGCCCAGGGUGCCCAAGCUGGCCUGGCUGAAGGAAGGGGAGGAGGAAAGCCCUGGGCCUGCCCCAGCCCAGCACCCUGAGGAUGUGGAGCAGUUCCAGCCCCUGCAGGAGGAUCCAGGACAGGUCCAGACAGAAGAGCAGGACCGCGCCCAUGGCCGAUUCCACAGGACAGCACAGGCCUUUCUGAAAUUCUUGGGCAUUCGGCGUAGAAAGACCGGGAGAACACCAACCGAGGUCAUGGCACAGCCUGACCCCACGCCGAAGGAGCUCAAGGCAAAGCCUGAUGUCGGCACCAUGUCAACUGAUGGCACAGCAACCUGUGACACCACGGUGACCGAUGAGCUGAUGAACACCGACAGCGAACCUGUUCAGCUCCUGGCCGAUGCUCCAAGUCUGGACUUUGUUGAGGAGAGCAUUGUCUCUGCUCAAGUAGCCAUGGAGCCAGACAGAGGCAUGGAGCAGAGACCGCCCAGGGUGCCCAAGCUGGCCUGGCUGAAGGAGGGGGAGGAGGAAAGCCCUGGGCCUGCCCCAGCACAGCACCCUGAGGAUGUGGAGCAGUUCCAGCCCCUGCAGGAGGAUCCAAGCCAAGACUGAACAGAGAAGCAGGACCGUGCCCGGGGCCGCUUCCGCAGGGCAGCACAGAUGGUUUGUGAAUUCACCCGGUGCAUUUGGAGGGAAGAGACCAUUGCCAUGGGCGCUGGGGGCAUGGCAAACUCUGACUUCCACAAUGCUGAAACCAGUGCUGCCCUGUUGGAUUUGCUCAUGGAAAAUGGUGUCUCCAAUCCCAAGAAUGUGCCAGCCUUCGUGAGGUACAUCCACCCGUGGCUCACGUCCAGUGUGUCUCCUGAGCACAGACUAGACAAGACUCUUCUGGAUCUGGCCGAGGCACACCCCGUGGAUGUGGUGGUGACUGGGCUGAAAACCUGGGUUAGGGGCAGAUUCAGGGGCACCAGGCCAGGUGCUCCUCCUGUGUCUCCCCUGGCCUCUCCCUCCCGCGCUCGGGCCUUGCCACGUGGAUGUCUCAGCACUGAGCGCUGCCUCCAGCUGUUUUACUUUUUUGCAGGCAAACGUGGCGCUGUGGACGAUCCUCCAGCUGCCCUCGUGCCCACGUACAGUGAGGGAGUGUUUCCCCAGCCUCUUUGUGCAUCUGCUCUUCCAGGUGUUCUUCAACGCAGCGCAUAGGCUGGAGGAGGACGACGCCUUCUGGAGGGAAUGCCAGGACCAACACAGCCUUCCCACCAACCCCAACAGGUUUGCAGUGCUGACCAUCAAAGCCCUGCUGCGCCAUCUGCGGUGUGAGGGUGUGGUGAUGGCACUGGAACGCAAGUGUGGCUGGGACACGCUGCUCAGCGCUGACACCCACCACUACGCAAUGGGUCUGCUGGCCAGGGAGAUAGUCUGUAUCUGCACACCCUGGUGUUGCAGGAUUGUAUGCUGCCUCCUGGAGCUGCUCAGUGAAGAGAUGUGUCCCUGGGAGCUCCCUGCCAUGGCGUUCCUUGUGGAGGUCCUGGUGUACCUGGAUGUGACAGAAUGUGGUGAAAGCAUCCUGCAGAUCCUUUUGAGGCACCUGUGGAGUGAGUGCCCAGAGAUGCGUUGCCAAGUGCUCAGAGGCCUCGUGGUGCUCAGCCAGGAUCCCGUGAUGGCCAAAAGAAUGGGCAGCCUGACUGAAAGCCUUGAGGAGCUCCUGUGGGAUUCAGACAGAGAGCUGGUCAGGAUGACUGCCACUGUCCUCGAAUUUCUGUCCUCGGAGAAAGACAUCUGACACCAGCCCUGCAGCUGGCUGAGGCGCUCCAGCCACUCUUUGACAACCCCUCCGAGGUAUGAAGAAUGACAGCAGCCCCGCUAUCUCAAGCCUGGCGUUUCAAACCUGCUCUGCGGAGCAGUUUCUGGCUGUGCUGCCAGAGCUCUGUGGAGAGUUGAUGUGGGAAGCUGUGUGUGCUGGGGCCACGUGAACCUGCGAGGAAGACCCCUUCUCUGCAAGCACUUUCCUUUAUCCCAGCAUGGGAAUAUAAAAUUCCUUUUGUCACAUACAGAGCCUCAGGAGUGUUUUUUGGUGCCCAGUUUCCACAGGGCACUGGGAAAGAGGGGAAAAAGGGUCCCUGUGCUCAGCAACACUUGCCCAGGUGUGCAGCGAGAAGAGAAGGUGCCCUAAGUCCCCUUGGCCUUUGGUGGUUCUGCUGAAGCCUCAAAGUUUCCACGGAGCAGUUUGCUGAACGUGUUUUCCUAUGUGAGAAGUAGAUGGACCUUUUGGACUCUGCAAGACUGAAAGUGCAUCACGCUACCUACAGCAGAGGUUGAAAGUGCCGUGUACCAUGGUGGUGUGUGCAGUUCUCAGGCUGCAAGGAAAAGUAAGUCCCACUUGAUUGUGGUGCAAAUACAAGUUUGCAAAUGGAAGGGAAGGUCGGUGAAAUUCUUCUGUUCUGGCACAUUUUCUUUGGCAGCAGGGGAGGACGUUUUCAACUUUGGAUCUUCCCGUUUGGAUAAGCCCGGUACGUUUACGUCUUUUUCAAGGACACGCCGACGUUCCCACUGUCGCUGUUCAACAGCUCCACGAGGUGGCGGUGUGUACAUAACAAACAACCCAAAAUGCAGCUCCGAAGGUGAAAACGUCCUGUCACAAUUCUCAAACGAAACGUGGCAGGACAGAAAAGGUGCCAGGACAAAAAGCUCUGGAGCUUGGCUUUUCCAUUCCCACUGGAGCAACAGCAGUUCACACGAUAGCACUGUAUACUAGGAAAAGCAAAUAAAUUCACCAAGACCAA
Molecule: RNA transcript, 6067 nt
Organism: Pipra filicauda (Wire-tailed manakin)
Lineage: Eukaryota; Metazoa; Chordata; Aves; Passeriformes; Pipridae
Exons: 27
Source: RefSeq, a predicted model, not a curated record